GAGAGACCCACCUAUCCGAUAGGUCUAAAGAGCGCCUGCUCUCGAGGGAGGGCUGGCGACUCGUGCGCCUGCUUGACCCGGAAGCAGACUCCGCGUCGCUGGGCCCGUUGGCGGCAGAAUCUACGCUACCGUAGCGUCUGCCGGGGGGAGCGGGGAAGGGGAUGGGGGGAGAGGAAAAGGGUCAGCACACCAGAGAGAAAGAGACCAGCCUGCUUUGCAUCCGGGGAAUCAUAUCACCUUCUGGGGCCAAGACUAGGGGAAAGUCAUCGGGGAGUAAUAAGAUGUUAUCACCUUCCGGGGUCAAUACUAGGGGAAGGUAAUUGGGGAGUAAUAAGAUGUUAUCACCUUCCGGGGUCAAUACUAGGGGAAGGUAAUCGGGGAGUAAUAAGAUGUUAUCACCUUCCGGGACCAAUACUAGGGGAAGGUAAUCGGGGAGUAAUAAGACGUUAUCACCUUCCGGGACCAAUACUAGGGGAAGGUAAUCGGGGAGUAAUAAGACGUUAUCACCUUCCGGGGCCAAUACUAGGGGAAGGUAAUCGGGGAGUAAUAAGAUGUUAUCACCUUCCGGGACCAAUACUAGGGGAAGGUAAUCGGGGAGUAAUAAGACGUUAUCACCUUCCGGGGUCAAUACUAGGGGAAGGUAAUUGGGGAGUAAUAAGAUGUUAUCACCUUCCGGGGCCAAUACUAGGGGAAAGUCAUUGGGGAGUAAUAAGAUGUUAUCACCUUCCGGGGUCAAUACUAGGGGAAGGUAAUCGGGGAGUAAUAAGAUGUUAUCACCUUCCGGGGUCAAUACUAGGGGAAGGUAAUCGGGGAGUAAUAAGAUGUUAUCACCUUCCGGGGCCAAUACUAGGGGAAGGUAAUCGGGGACUAAUAAGAUGUUAUCACCUUCCAGGGCCAAUACUAGGGGAAGGUAAUCAGGGACUAAUAAGAUGUUAUCACCUUCCGGGGCCAAUACUAGGGGAAGGUAAUCGGGGAGUAAUAAGAUGUUAUCACCUUCCGGGGCCAAGACUAGGGGAAGGUAAUCGGGGAGUAAUAAGAUGUGUUAUCGACAGCUUUCAUCACAGGGUUGUUGUGUAUUUUCCGUGCAUGUUCCUUUUGGCUCUCAGUAUUGAAAAAAAAAACCCCUCCAAAAUCAGAACAGUAAAUAACAAAACGAGCAACACUCUGAAAACAGAAGAAUUCCAGACAGGCAAAAAGUAUUUUUUUUUAUUCCUUUUUCUUCUUUAUUACUAUUAUAUUAUUAUUAUAUUAUAA
RNAcentral lists this long non-coding RNA (1254 nucleotides) under Anolis carolinensis (green anole). RNAcentral describes it as "lncRNA (ENSACAG00000043271.1)". Lineage: Eukaryota; Metazoa; Chordata; Lepidosauria; Squamata; Anolidae. The record is from RNAcentral.